AGGGCCCUCAUGUAGAUGUUGGACGAGAUGGCGCUUAGCCCCGAGCUCGCUGUCAGUCUCCAAGUACAGUUCGACGAGGUCUGUUGAUUAUUUUUCAUCUUGGUCUUCUUGUUUCUUUCAGUCCAUGAGCGCUGGACCACUAGCUCAAGAGCAAGGCCUUCUUCAAGGUACCAAACAGAUCAGCUACAGAUCUUUCAUAUCUUCUGUUGGAUGCCAUGAUGACUUCUGUGCUUAAUUAUGAAAUUCAAUCAAAAGAUAUAUGGAUGAUUCUAUGGUUUGUGGCAAGUAUACUGCAAUGAUGAUGAUGAUGUUCCCGUUGAUGAUGAUGAUGAUGUUCCCGUUGAUGA
Triticum urartu is the source of this 347-nucleotide non-coding RNA. Lineage: Eukaryota; Viridiplantae; Streptophyta; Magnoliopsida; Poales; Poaceae. The record is from RefSeq and is a predicted model, not a curated record.